UUCCGGACUGAUAACUGGAUGGUCUGCUCGGGUAGUGUUUAUCACUACGAAAUUCUCAGUCCCAAACUGUCUUUUAAGUGUUCGGAAUAACGAUUAGUUUGAAAAUUCUCAUCAUACGGUUCUGAAUUCAUCGAUAUUCUUAACCAUUUGCUUUUUCUCACGACAU
RNAcentral lists this small nucleolar RNA (166 nucleotides) under Eremothecium cymbalariae DBVPG#7215. The record is from RNAcentral. Lineage: Eukaryota; Fungi; Ascomycota; Saccharomycetes; Saccharomycetales; Saccharomycetaceae.